This 429-nucleotide ribosomal RNA is filed under the name Actinomycetes bacterium. RNAcentral describes it as "Actinobacteria bacterium partial 16S ribosomal RNA". It matches the Rfam family "Bacterial small subunit ribosomal RNA", at positions 355 to 776 of the family's 1533-position model. Lineage: Bacteria; Bacillati; Actinomycetota; Actinomycetes. The record is from RNAcentral.
UAGGGAAUCUUCCGCAAUGGGCGAAAGCUUGACGGAGCAACGCCGCGUGAGUGAUGAAGGUCUUCGGAUCGUAAAACUCUGUUAUUAGGGGAGAACAAAUGUGUAAGUAACUAUGCACGUCUUGACGGUACCUAAUCAGAAAGCCACGGCUAACUACGUGCCAGCAGCCGCGGUAAUACGUAGGUGGCAAGCGUUAUCCGGAAUUAUUGGGCGUAAAGCGCGCGUAGGCGGUUUUUUAAGUCUGAUGUGAAAGCCCACGGCUCAACCGUGGGGGGUCAUUGGAGACUGGAAAACUUGAGUGCAGAAGAGGAAAGUGGAAUUCCAUGUGUAGCGGUGAAAUGCGCAGAGAUAUGGAGGAACACCAGUGGCGAAGGCGACUUUCUGGUCUGUAAAUGACGCUGAUGUGCGAAAGCGUGGGGAUCAAACAGG